This 441-nucleotide ribosomal RNA is filed under the name uncultured bacterium. RNAcentral's name for it is "partial 16S ribosomal RNA". It matches the Rfam family "Bacterial small subunit ribosomal RNA", at positions 338 to 795 of the family's 1533-position model. The record is from RNAcentral.
CCUACGGGAGGCAGCAGUGGGGAAUAUUGCACAAUGGGGGAAACCCUGAUGCAGCGACGCCACGUGAGUGAAGAAGUAUUUCGGUAUGUAAAGCUCUAUCAGCAGGGAAGAAAAUGACGGUACCUGACUAAGAAGCCCCGGCUAACGACGUGCCAGCAGCCGCGGUAAUACGGAGGGGGCAAGCGUUAUCCGGAUUGAUUGGGUUUCAAGGGUGCGUAGGCUGGGAGGUAAGUCAGCGGUGAAAUGCCCCCGCUCAACGGGGUGAAGUGCCUUUGAGACUGCCUUGCUGGACUGCGGAUGCCGUUGGCUGAAUGUGUGGUGUAGCUGUGAACUGCAUCGAUAUCACACAGAACACCGAUUGCGACGGCAUCUCACGACUCCGCGUUUGCCGCUGAUGCACGACAGCGUGGGUAUCAAACAGGAUUAGAUACCCCGGUAGUC